AUGGCGUUGGCCGAUGUCCCUCUCAGUCUCUCCCCCUCCUCUCCCCACCGCGCCGGCCACCACGUGCGUCUCCCAACUACGCCGCCGCCGCCGCUGCCGCCGCCCUCCUGCGCUGUUGCGAAGGAGGCAACCACCGCCGCCCACCUGCGCAGCUCAACAACCGCCGACCCACCUCGCCCACCGCGGUCCACAGCUGGACCACCUCCUCCCCGAGGAGACCAGGAACUCCGCCUCGCCGAGAGCUACGCCAUCCUCGAGCCGUGCUUGCUGGGGAGCCGUGGAUCGACGGAAUCGCUCCCAUCUCCUCCCACUCGCGCCUCCCCUAUCUUCCCCGAUCCAUUCAAAAGAAUUAGGGUGCCCCGCCGGUGUAGUGGUCCGCCGCUCGUCGCCGCUGGAGGUCCGCUGCUCGCCACCUCCCCCCCUCUCGAUUGCUUGCUAUGCAGCCUGGGCGUCGUGGUCCACCGCUCGCCGCAGCUGGAUGGCUGGAGGUCGUCGGCACCCAAGUACCGCCCAUGCUCUGGCGCUUGCACACCGCCGGCCCUGCCCCAUCCCACCCUCCGCCACCACCUUCCCCACCCCGAGCUCGGAUUUACGACGCCCACUGCCUUCCAGUUCGAGCUCCGCCUCGACCUCAUCCCUGCUGCCGUCGUCUUCCCUGAACCAAGGAAGCCCUCAUCUGAUACGCUCUCGUCCGCGACGUGCUUCUCCAACCAUUGGUACGCGACGGUGGUUCGGUCCGGGAGGUGGCUCCUGCAAUCCUGGCGUCGCCGCAGCAGUGGUUCCAUUCCGGCGGCAUCAGGGGAGCACACAACGUCCACGAGCAGCAAGCAGAGCCGGCCAAUCGGCCAAUGA
Molecule: ribosomal RNA, 852 nt
Filed under: Triticum aestivum (bread wheat)
Lineage: Eukaryota; Viridiplantae; Streptophyta; Magnoliopsida; Poales; Poaceae
Description: partial small subunit ribosomal RNA
Source: RNAcentral